Long non-coding RNA from Sebastes umbrosus (honeycomb rockfish), 912 nucleotides. RefSeq lists it as uncharacterized. NCBI's taxonomy places the organism in Eukaryota, Metazoa, Chordata, Actinopteri, Perciformes, Sebastidae. The record is from RefSeq and is a predicted model, not a curated record. The transcript is spliced from 2 exons.
GUUAUAUAUCAGAGCAUGGAUUGUUCCUUCAGUAGUUGAUUUUUUUUGUGUCUAAAUAAUUUUGCAAAAGUUGAUUUUAUCCAUCUAUAUUCUUGCUUAUUUUUCUCCGAUUUAAUCGAGUGGUUAUGUUAUAUUGUGGAGGUUUUAAAUUAAUAUAUUUGUGAAAAUGUGUCACAAUGUUGUUGCAAAAGUUGAUUUUAUCCAUCUAUAUUAUGCACAUUUUUUGUGGUAUUUAAUUGAGUGGUAAGGUUAGUUGAAAGUGAAUUUGAAAGUGGAUAUUUAGUUUUUAAAUUAAUAUAAUUGUGCCAUGUUCUUGUUAUAUCAGAGCAUGGAUUGUUCCUUUUAGUAGUUGCAUUGCAGGGUGUCACAAUGUUGUUGCAAAAGUUGAUUUUAUCCAUCAUAUUCUGCACAUUUAUUGUGGUAUUUAAUUGGAUGGAAAGGUUAGCUGAAGAAGGAAUGUGAAAGUGGAUAUUUUAGGUUUUAAAUUAAUAUAUUUGUGCCAUUUUCUUCUUAUAUAUCAGAGCAUGGAUUGUUCCUUCAGUAGUUGAUUUUUUUGUGUCCAAAUUAAUGUUGAGAAAAUGUGUCACAAUGUUGUUGCAAAGUUGAUUUAUGCAUCAUAUUCUGCUUAUUUUUUGUGGUAUUUAAUUGAGUGGUAAUGCUAUAUUGUGGAGGUUGAAAGAGAAGGUGAAAGUAGUGUGGAUAUUUAGGUUUUUAAAUUAAUAUUUGUUUCUUGUUAUAUCAGAGCAUGGAUUGUUCCUUCAGUAGUGCAUAUAUAUCAUAUUCUUGCUUAUUUUUUGUGGUAUUUAAUCGAGUGGUAAUGCUAUAUUGUGGAGGUUGAAAUAGAAUAGGAAAAGAAAGUGAAAGUAGUGUGGAUAUUUAGGUUUUAAAUUAAUAUAUUUGUGCCAUUUUCUU